Molecule: ribosomal RNA, 527 nt
Filed under: Homoneura mediospinosa
Lineage: Eukaryota; Metazoa; Arthropoda; Insecta; Diptera; Lauxaniidae
Description: partial 16S ribosomal RNA
Rfam family: Bacterial large subunit ribosomal RNA
Source: RNAcentral
GGGGGAAUGAUUCACGGCAACCUGCCCCUGAAAUUUUUAAAUGGCCGCAGUAUACUAACUGUGCAAAGGUAGCAUAAUCAUUAGUCUUUUAAUUGAAGGCUGGUAUGAAUGGUUGGACGAAAUAUAUACUGUUUCAAUUGAAUUUAUUAUAGAAUUUUAUUUUUUAGUCAAAAAGCUAAAAUAUAAUUAAAAGACGAGAAGACCCUAUAAAUCUUUAUAUUUAAAUUAUUUUAAUUAUAAAGAUUAAUUUUAUUAUAAUAAUUUUAAAUAUUUUAUUGGGGUGAUAUUAAAAUUUAAUAAACUUUUAAAAUUAUUAAAUCAUUAAUUUAUGAAUAUUUGAUCCAGUAAAUACUGAUUAAAAAUUUAAGUUACUUUAGGGAUAACAGCGUAAUUUUUUUGGAGAGUUCAUAUCGAUAAAAAAGAUUGCGACCUCGAUGUUGGAUUAAGAGAUAAAUUUGGGCGCAGCCGUUCAAAAUAUUAAGUCUGUUCGACUUUUAAAUUCUUACGUGAUCUGAGUUCAGACCGGA